This 1299-nucleotide ribosomal RNA is filed under the name Homo sapiens (human). RNAcentral's name for it is "Bacterial large subunit ribosomal RNA". It matches the Rfam family "Bacterial large subunit ribosomal RNA", at positions 533 to 2663 of the family's 2925-position model. Lineage: Eukaryota; Metazoa; Chordata; Mammalia; Primates; Hominidae. The record is from Rfam by way of RNAcentral.
GAAGGAUGAAAGAACUGUAUUGAGGACUAAAAAGCAAAGACAAGCCCUUAUACCUUCUGCAUAAUGCAUUAACUAGAAAUAACUUUACAUAGAACUAUGGCCAAGUCCCCCGAAACCAGACGAGCUACCCAAGAAUAGCUGAAAGAGCACACUCACCUAUGUGGCAAAACAGUGGGAAGAUUCAUGAGUAGCGGUGACACGCCUACCGAGCCUGGUGAUAGCUGGCUGGCUUAGUUCAACUUUCAACUUACCCACAGAAUUACUUAAACUCCCUGUAAGUUUAACUGUUAGUCUAGAGAGACAGACAGCUCUUUAGACCCUUCCUACAGAGAGUAAAAAACAUUACCACCACAGUUGGCCCAAAAGCAGCCACUAAUUAAGAAAGCAUUUAAGCUCAAUAUCUAACUAUCUUAAAUUCUAACCAGUCUACUGAACUCCUAACAUCACAUUGGACUAAUCUAUUACUUAAUAGAAGCAGUAAUGUUAAUGUAAGUAAGAUGAAGACAUUCUCCAUUGCAUAAGCUUACAUCAGACGGGAGUAACCCACUGACAGUUAACAUCCCAAUAUUAAUAAAUGAUAUAAUAAACACCGUAUUAUUUGCACUGUUAACCCAACACAGGCAUGCUCUAAGGAAACAUUACAAAAAAAUAAAAGGAACUCAGCAAAUCUUACCCCGCCUGUUUACCAAAAACAUCACCUCUAGCAUUACCAGUAUUAGAGGCACUAUCUGCCCAGUGACAUAUAUUCAACAGCUGUGGUAUCCUGACCGUGCGAAGGUAGCAUAAUCACUUGUUCUCUAAAUAGGGACUUGAAUGAAUGGCCACACGAAGGUUCAGCUGUCUCUUACUUUCAACCAGUGAAAUUGAUCUAUCCGUGAAGAGGCGGAUAUAAACAAAUAAGACGAGAAAACCUUAUGGAGCUUUAAUUCAUCAAUGCAAAUAAAAACUCCAACAAGCCUACAGGCCCUAGCCUCCUAUCCCUGCAUUAAAAAUUUUGGUUGGGGUGACCUCGGAGCAUAAUUCAACCUCCUAACAACCUAAGACCACACAAGUCUAAGUGAGUUAUUACACAUCGACCCAAUAAUUUGAUAAACGGAGUAAGUUACCCUAGGGAUAACAGCGCAAUCCUAUACUAGAGUCCAUAUCGACAAUAGAGUUUACGACCUCGAUGUUGGAUCAGGACAUCCUAAUGGUGUAGCCGCUAUUAAGAGUUUGUUUGUUCAAUGAUUAAAGUCCUAUGUGAUCUCAGUUCAGACCAGAGUAAUCCAGGUCGGUUUCUACCUACUUAACAUUCCUCCU